Molecule: ribosomal RNA, 260 nt
Filed under: uncultured eukaryote
Lineage: Eukaryota
Description: partial 18S ribosomal RNA
Rfam family: Eukaryotic small subunit ribosomal RNA (bases 32-260)
Source: RNAcentral
GGGGAAUGCUUCUGUGCUUGAUUGCAUGGGGUGGAAUUCAAGACUUUUACUUUGAGGAAAUUAGAGUGUUCACGGCAAGCUACCGCUUUGAAUACAUUAGCAUGGAAUAAUAAUAUAGGGCGUAAGUUCUAUUUUGUUGGUUUCUAGGACAUACGACAAUGAUUAAUAGGGACAAUUGGGGGCAUUCGUAUUAACGCGUCAGAGGUGGAAUUCUUAGAUUGCGUUACAACGAACUACUGCGAAAGCAUUUGCCAAAGAUG